AAUCAAAAUUUAAUAUGGCUGGCGGUAAAGGUAAAGAGAAGUUUAAAGGAACAAACAUUAGAGAGCGUUUUGUCAAUUAAAAUGACUGCUACAGUUGCCGAAAUAAGAAAAUGAAUAAUGACUCGACAGAUCAGAUGGUGGUGGUCGGCGCGUAAAAGGCGAUUCACCCGAUGUAUAAAAUUCAUACUUUUUUCUAGUUGUUCUGGAACUAUUGAUAAUAGUUAUUAUUGAUAAAUUGAUAAAUAUAUUACUGAUAAACAAAACUUUUUUUUUUCAAACAUUUUACUUUAUUUGCAUUGUAUAUAAAGUCCGUUGAAGCAAUUUAGUUGUAUCUGAUUAAUUUACGUGAAGUAUAAUAUUCUUCGCGCAAA
Hydra vulgaris (swiftwater hydra) is the source of this 371-nucleotide non-coding RNA. The record is from RefSeq and is a predicted model, not a curated record. NCBI's taxonomy places the organism in Eukaryota, Metazoa, Cnidaria, Hydrozoa, Anthoathecata, Hydridae.